RNAcentral lists this ribosomal RNA (261 nucleotides) under uncultured Lactobacillus sp. Its description in RNAcentral is "partial 16S ribosomal RNA". It matches the Rfam family "Bacterial small subunit ribosomal RNA", at positions 419 to 672 of the family's 1533-position model. Lineage: Bacteria; Bacillati; Bacillota; Bacilli; Lactobacillales; Lactobacillaceae. The record is from RNAcentral.
CGGCUCGUAAARCUCUGUUGUUGRAGAAGAACGUGCGUGAGAGUAACUGUUCACGCAGUGACGGUAUYCRACCAGAAAGUCACGGCUAACUACGUGCCAGCAGCCGCGGUAAUACGUAGGUGGCAAGCGUUAUCCGGAUUUAUUGGGCGUAAAGCGAGCGCAGGCGGUURCUUARGUCUGAUGUGAAAGCCUUCGGCUUAACCGAAGAAGKGCAUCGGAAACYGGGCGACUUGAGUGCAGAAGAGGACAGUGGAACUCCAU